RNAcentral lists this ribosomal RNA (480 nucleotides) under uncultured bacterium. RNAcentral describes it as "partial 16S ribosomal RNA". It matches the Rfam family "Bacterial small subunit ribosomal RNA", at positions 28 to 506 of the family's 1533-position model. The record is from RNAcentral.
GAUGAACGCUGGCGGCGUGCCUAACACAUGCAAGUCGAACGGAGAUUACGGACGGAAGUUUUCUGAUGGAAGACUGUAAUUCUUAGUGGCGGACGGGUGAGUAACGCGUGGGCAACCUGCCCUAUACAGGGGGAGAGCAGCUGGAAACGGCUGGUAAGACGGCAUAAGUCGGCGAGACCGCAUGGUCUUGCCGGGGAAUGAGCAAUCUGGUAUAGGAUGGGCCCGCGUCCGAUUAGCCAGUUGGCAGGGUAAAAGCCUACCCAAGCAACGAUCGGUAGCCGGACUGAGAGGUCGGACGGCCAGAUUGGGACUGAGACACGGCCCAAACUCCGGCGGGAGGCAGCAGUGGGAGAGAUUGAACAAUGGAGGAAACACUGAUGCAGCGAGGCCGCGUGAGUGAAGAAGUAUUUCGGUAUGUAAAGCUCUCUCAGCAGGGAAGAUGAGGACGGGACCUGACUAAGGAACCCCGGCUAAAUACGU